ACUAGAUAACAACCUCUUCUUCAGCUGUGAUUGCGUACAGCCCGUUUAAACACUUCAAAGACUUUUGAAACUGCAUUUGGACUUAAAAACGAUGGUAACCAAUGAAGUCCAUUGUUAGAUGAAAAAUCCAGAAAUGUUUUCUUCAAAAAACAUAAUUUCUCUCGCACUGAGGAAAGAAAGACAUGGAUAUCUUGGAUGGCAUUGGGGUUGGGACCAACAUGGUUGAAUAUUUAAUCCAUGAGAUGACUGGAGCAUUGCUGCACAUUCUGUGCCUCAGUGAUGAGACAAGGGGGACAUCACAGACCUUUGCCAUUAUUCCAGGCCACGCCAUUGAGACUGAGUCUUUGUUGGAGGCAGUUGAUCUUUGCUUUAAAGCUUUUUUUGUUUUUGAUGUUCAGUACACCAAGCAGUGUCUCCCCACCUGGGAGUUUCUCCAGCAUGCUGUGUAUCAAAUUGAAGGAAAAGAGUCCUCCUCUGUAAAGUUUUUGAGGACAACAAAUGUAUUCAAUAUUGUAUACAAACAAAGUAUUAAAGAAAUGUAUUGUUUUUAAAGAAAUAAUAUGUUUUAAAUUAAAUGAGAUUGAAAUCACAUAUACAUGGCCUCUCUGGUUUAUUGUAUUACAGAG
Molecule: long non-coding RNA, 626 nt
Organism: Carassius carassius (crucian carp)
Lineage: Eukaryota; Metazoa; Chordata; Actinopteri; Cypriniformes; Cyprinidae
Exons: 3
Source: RefSeq, a predicted model, not a curated record